Molecule: long non-coding RNA, 326 nt
Organism: Glycine soja
Lineage: Eukaryota; Viridiplantae; Streptophyta; Magnoliopsida; Fabales; Fabaceae
Exons: 3
Source: RefSeq, a predicted model, not a curated record
AUCAUGACUAUGAUAGCUACUAUGAAUUCGAUGAGGAAGCUUAUAGGAGAUGGAGCUUUGGUGGAGCAAUAAGUCCUUGUUUGGCUGAUUUAAAGCAUUUGAAUUACUUGGACUUGAGCGGCAAUGAUUUUGAAGGAGAAGUUUGCUACAUGAACACCAGCCCUUUUAUUUAAUCUUCAAAUAGGCACACUAUGUGUUGAUUUAGGCCUUCAGGGAUUCCUACCCAAGGAUUUGCACUAUAGCUUUAUUUCUCAAUUCAGACUAGUGUUCUACAUCCGAAUAAGAGAGUAUUCAAAGGUACGACUUCUUUAUUGAAUGUUCUCCAG